GGUAUGUAUUUUCAAAAUGAAACUUGAAAACUGAAAAUGACAGUUAAGUGCUGAGUAUUUAAUCUCUAGACAGCCAGCAUUACAGCCAGGUCUGCUGAGAUAUGGAAAACAGAACAGAGGAACCUUUGGCUCUGAUUGUGGAUUUCAGGCUCUGAGUUUCUGCAGGCAUACAUGAAGCAGAGAAGAUAAUUACCGUGGAAGACAGUGUUAAUGGAUCCUACCAUUAAAACCUAAACAUUUUAAUAAAUUGAAUAUUUAACUUUU
Long non-coding RNA from Anguilla anguilla (European eel), 264 nucleotides. RefSeq lists it as uncharacterized. Lineage: Eukaryota; Metazoa; Chordata; Actinopteri; Anguilliformes; Anguillidae. The record is from RefSeq and is a predicted model, not a curated record. The transcript has 2 exons.